RNAcentral lists this unclassified non-coding RNA (258 nucleotides) under uncultured fungus. RNAcentral's name for it is "partial contains small subunit ribosomal RNA, internal transcribed spacer 1, and 5.8S ribosomal RNA". The stretch from base 1 to 73 matches the Rfam family "Eukaryotic small subunit ribosomal RNA", at positions 1759 to 1831 of the family's 1831-position model. Lineage: Eukaryota; Fungi. The record is from RNAcentral.
GCAAACUUGGUCAUUUAGAGGAAGUAAAAGUCGUAACAAGGUCUCCGUUGGUGAACCAGCGGAGGGAUCAUUAUAGAGUUGAAAAACUCCCAACCCUUUGUGAACGAACUCAACAGUUGCUUCGGCGGGGAGCCUCUUAGGGGGCCGACCGCCGGAGGAAAGCAAACUCGUUUAUUUUUGUAUCUCUGAGUACUUAUUUAAUAAGUUAAAACUUUCAACAACGGAUCUCUUGGUUCUGGCAUCGAUGAAGAACGCAGC